GGGCGGAGAGGUCCAGAAG
RNAcentral lists this small nuclear RNA (19 nucleotides) under Arabidopsis thaliana (thale cress). RNAcentral's name for it is "snRNA_14015". The record is from RNAcentral. Lineage: Eukaryota; Viridiplantae; Streptophyta; Magnoliopsida; Brassicales; Brassicaceae.